RNAcentral lists this long non-coding RNA (644 nucleotides) under Gallus gallus (chicken). Its description in RNAcentral is "long non-coding RNA NONGGAT002547". The record is from RNAcentral. Lineage: Eukaryota; Metazoa; Chordata; Aves; Galliformes; Phasianidae.
UUUAACACACCCACUGGAAGCCGGAGCUGCAGAGCUGCCCGGCCAAGCCGUCUCCAGAACCCAGUGUGGCUGAAAGAGUUGUGCCAUCCGACAGUUUUGCAGCCAAAAAAACCCAACCCACGCCAAAGGCAAAGCCCAGCUCGGAUACAGCAGCCGCCCCGGCUGGAUCUCAGCUGAGCGCUCGUCUCUCCCGAGCGGCGGACAACGCGAUGGAUGAAGGAGCUGGAACCGCUCGGAGAAAAUGAUUUUGCAGCCAAUGUUUUUAAGCAGUCUCACAGAAGAGAGGGAGAGAGCGGAGAGCGCUUCUGCUGCAUCACUGGGCGCAUUCAAAGGAAGGAGUCAGCGUUUCCUGCACUGCCAAACGUUAUGGAUGAUUUUUUUCCUUCUGUCGCCUUUCCGUACAGGUUUUCUUAAUAUUCUUCUCCCUCCCCUCCUCCCCGGCAUUUUUUGAACGAUUAUGAUUUAAUCGCAGCCAGCACCAGCCGCCGGUUUCCCCUCCAGAAGCGGCUCUCCCUAUUUGUCGUGAGCCCCGUAAUAAAAAGCGAGAGGAACCGCGAACAGAUGGCUGUAGAUAUCGCAGUGCCGCUGGCUUUGUUUUCCUAUUGAUUUUAAAGGCUCCUUUUUCCGAUUAUUUUUUUUUUCCC